This 66-nucleotide transfer RNA is filed under the name Cosmoscarta sp. TS-2017. RNAcentral's name for it is "tRNA-Trp". The record is from RNAcentral. Lineage: Eukaryota; Metazoa; Arthropoda; Insecta; Hemiptera; Cercopidae.
AAGGAUUUAAGUUAAAUAAACUAUUAACCUUCAAAGUUAAAAAAAUAAUUAUCAUUAUAAACCUUA